GGCGAUAUCACGUCGAAAUACCGGUUCUGGUACGAUCACCGAAGUUAAGCAACGUUUAGCCUUUAGUACCUAGAUGGGUGACCGCUUGGGAAUACCAGGUGCUGUAAG
Molecule: non-coding RNA, 108 nt
Organism: Acanthosepion pharaonis
Lineage: Eukaryota; Metazoa; Mollusca; Cephalopoda; Sepiida; Sepiidae
Source: the annotation of a GenBank genome assembly